GCACACUCGUAUCAGUUAUGUAUUUAAGAGUAUUCCUUAGUUUUAUUGCUGCCUUCCAGAGGCAGCUUCCUGAAGAAAUAUUUGAGGUCCUCUGUAAGCUUCCAGGAGUAGACUGUUUCCUCCGAGAAGGCCUGUUCGUCAGAAGAAGCAAAAGGUUUUAUUCUAGAGACAUGGACUCAAGUCGGAAGUCCUUCCAACGUUAUGACCGUUGGAGUGGACAAGAUAACCUGGUCACUGGGUAUCAAUGGGACAAAUAAUCACUCCAUGGCAUCAGCAUGUAUAUCAAGAAAGAGAAAGUCACUCUUUAAUAAAGCUAGAAAACACCAGUAUUUUCUCAGGAGAAAUUGCAAUUUUCAUUUUUAAUCUGUCUUGAUAAAGUUUUACAAGAUUCAGGACUUUCAUUUCUCUCAGGUAAGUAAGGCUCCU
This 426-nucleotide long non-coding RNA is filed under the name Macaca mulatta (Rhesus monkey). RNAcentral describes it as "lncRNA (ENSMMUG00000061027.1)". Lineage: Eukaryota; Metazoa; Chordata; Mammalia; Primates; Cercopithecidae. The record is from RNAcentral.